GGGAUAGUAGUGGAAAGCCCACAGCGCAGCGAGGACUUGUAACGGAUAGCCCGAC
RNAcentral lists this small RNA (55 nucleotides) under Jejuia pallidilutea. RNAcentral describes it as "Flavo-1 RNA". Lineage: Bacteria; Pseudomonadati; Bacteroidota; Flavobacteriia; Flavobacteriales; Flavobacteriaceae. The record is from RNAcentral.